UCCCUGGUGGCUCAGUGGUAAAGAAUCUGCCUGCCAUGCAGGAGACACAGAUUCGAUACCUGGUCUGGGAA
Bos taurus (domestic cattle) is the source of this 71-nucleotide non-coding RNA. Lineage: Eukaryota; Metazoa; Chordata; Mammalia; Artiodactyla; Bovidae. The record is from Rfam.